This 668-nucleotide ribosomal RNA is filed under the name Lactarius hepaticus. RNAcentral's name for it is "eukaryotic LSU rRNA". The stretch from base 224 to 377 matches the Rfam family "5.8S ribosomal RNA". The record is from RNAcentral. Lineage: Eukaryota; Fungi; Basidiomycota; Agaricomycetes; Russulales; Russulaceae.
CAUUAUCGUACAAAAUGUGAGGGGCAUGCAAGGGCUGUCGCUGACUCUAUAAAGUCGUGCACGCCCGAGUGUGUCCUCUCACAUAAUAAUCCAUCUCACCCUUUGUGCAUCACCGCGUGGGCACCCUUUGGGAUCAUCUCGGAGGGGGCUCGCGUUUUCACACAAACCCCCCCUUUUAAAAGUGUAAAAUGACCUCAUUUAUGCGCUAACCCGCAAUCAAUACAACUUUCAACAACGGAUCUCUUGGCUCUCGCAUCGAUGAAGAACGCAGCGAAAUGCGAUACGUAAUGUGAAUUGCAGAAUUCAGUGAAUCAUCGAAUCUUUGAACGCACCUUGCGCCCCUUGGUAUUCCGAGGGGCACACCCGUUUGAGUGUCGUGAAAACCUCAACCUCCUUGGUUUCUUCUGGAGACCAAAGCAGGCUUGGACUUUGGAGGCCUUUGCUGGCACCUCUCUUUUGAAGGCCAGCUCCUCUUAAACAAAUUAGCAGGGUCCUCUUUGCCGAUCCUCGACGUGUGAUAAGAUGUUUCCAUGUCUUGGUUUCUGGCUCUGUCACCUUUUGGGACCCGCUUCUAACCGUCUUGACCUUGCGUCGAGACAACGUUCGAGCAUGUCUCCCUUUCUCCGGGAGGCUCCCUUGACCCCACGAACCCUUGACCUCAAAUCGGG